RNAcentral lists this ribosomal RNA (253 nucleotides) under uncultured bacterium. Its description in RNAcentral is "partial 16S ribosomal RNA". It matches the Rfam family "Bacterial small subunit ribosomal RNA", at positions 524 to 776 of the family's 1533-position model. The record is from RNAcentral.
GACAGAGGGUGCAAGCGUUGUUCGGAAUUACUGGGCGUAAAGGGCGCGUAGGCGGUCCGCUAAGUUCGGCGUGAAAUCCCCUGGCUCAACUGGGGAACGGCGCUGGAUACUGGUGGACUCGGGUACCGGAGAGGAGAGUGGAAUUCCUGGUGUAGCGGUGAAAUGCGUAGAUAUGUGGAGGAACACCGAUGGCGAAGGCAGCCCCCUGGGUCAAAACUGACGCUCAUGCACGAAAGCGUGGGGAGCAAACAGG